RNAcentral lists this ribosomal RNA (118 nucleotides) under Carlito syrichta (Philippine tarsier). The record is from RNAcentral. Lineage: Eukaryota; Metazoa; Chordata; Mammalia; Primates; Tarsiidae.
GUCUAUGGUCAUACCAUCCUAAAUAUGCCUGAUCUCACCUGAUCUCAGAAGCUACGAAGGAUCAGGCCUGAUUAGAACUUGAUGGAAGACUACCUGUGAAUAUCAGUUGCUGCAGGGG